AGGCCGUUAGUCCAAAAAAGACACUUGAUUUCGGCUCAAGAAAUCGUAAUUAAACUUACGACAGCCUU
Molecule: transfer RNA, 68 nt
Filed under: Lepidogalaxias salamandroides (salamanderfish)
Lineage: Eukaryota; Metazoa; Chordata; Actinopteri; Lepidogalaxiiformes
Description: tRNA-Arg
Rfam family: tRNA
About the family: Transfer RNA (tRNA) molecules are approximately 80 nucleotides in length. Their secondary structure includes four short double-helical elements and three loops (D, anti-codon, and T loops). Further hydrogen bonds mediate the characteristic L-shaped molecular structure. tRNAs have two regions of fundamental functional importance: the anti-codon, which is responsible for specific mRNA codon recognition, and the 3' end, to which the tRNAs corresponding amino acid is attached (by aminoacyl-tRNA synthetases). tRNAs cope with the degeneracy of the genetic code in two manners: having more than one tRNA (with a specific anti-codon) for a particular amino acid; and 'wobble' base-pairing, i.e. permitting non-standard base-pairing at the 3rd anti-codon position.
Source: RNAcentral